GACGAACGCUGGCGGCGUGCCUAAUACAUGCAAGUCGAACGCUUCUUUCCUCCCGAGUGCUUGCACUCAAUUGGAAAGAGGAGUGGCGGACGGGUGAGUAACACGUGGGUAACCUCCCCAUCAGAGGGGGAUAACACUUGGAAACAGGUGCUAAUACCGCAUAACAGUUUAUGCCGCAUGGCAUAAGAGUGAAAGGCGCUUUCGGGUGUCGCUGAUGGAUGGACCCGCGGUGCAUUAGCUAGUUGGUGAGGUAACGGCUCACCAAGGCCACGAUGCAUAGCCGACCUGAGAGGGUGAUCGGCCACACUGGGACUGAGACACGGCCCAGACUCCUACGGGAGGCAGCAGUAGGGAAUCUUCGGCAAUGGACGAAAGUCUGACCGAGCAACGCCGCGUGAGUGAAGAAGGUUUUCGGAUCGUAAAACUCUGUUGUUAGAGAAGAACAAGGACGUUAGUAACUGAACGUCCCCUGACGGUAUCUAACCAGAAAGCCACGGCUAACUACGUG
This 508-nucleotide ribosomal RNA is filed under the name uncultured bacterium. Its description in RNAcentral is "partial 16S ribosomal RNA". It matches the Rfam family "Bacterial small subunit ribosomal RNA", at positions 28 to 507 of the family's 1533-position model. The record is from RNAcentral.